GACGAACGCUGGCGGCGUGCUUAACACAUGCCAGUCGAACGGAAAGGCCCUGCUUUUGUGGGGUGCUCGAGUGGCGAACGGGUGUGUAACACGUGAGUAACCUGCCCUUGACUUUGGGAUAACUUCAGGAAACUGGGGCUAUUACCCGAUAUAAUCUCCUGCUGCAUGUUGGUGGUUGGAAAGUUUCGGCGGUUGGGGAUGGACUCGCGGCUUAUCCGCUUGUUGGUGGGGUAGUGGCUUACCAAGGCUUUGACGGGUAGCCGGCAUGAGAGGGUGACCGGCGACAUUGGGACUGAGAUACGGCCCAGAAUCCAACGGGAGGCAGCAGGGGGGAAUAUUGCAGAAUGGGCGGAAGCCUGAGGCAGAAACGCCGCGUGCGGGAUGACGGCCUUCGGGGUGUAAACAGCUUUCGACGGUGACGAAGCGUGAGUGACGGUAAUGGGUAAAGAAGCACCGGCUAACUACGUG
This 468-nucleotide ribosomal RNA is filed under the name uncultured bacterium. RNAcentral describes it as "partial 16S ribosomal RNA". It matches the Rfam family "Bacterial small subunit ribosomal RNA", at positions 28 to 507 of the family's 1533-position model. The record is from RNAcentral.